RNAcentral lists this ribosomal RNA (549 nucleotides) under Brachynema cinctum. RNAcentral describes it as "partial large subunit ribosomal RNA". It matches the Rfam family "Bacterial large subunit ribosomal RNA", at positions 1799 to 2619 of the family's 2925-position model. The record is from RNAcentral. Lineage: Eukaryota; Metazoa; Arthropoda; Insecta; Hemiptera; Pentatomidae.
GUUGUUUUACAAAACAUGUCCUAAUGUUUUAAUUUAUUAGGUCUAACCUGCUCAAUGAUUAAUUAUUAAAUAGCCGCAGUAUUUUGACUGUGCGAAGGUAGCAUAAUCACUUGUCUUUUAAUUGAAGGCUUGAAUGAAUGGUUGGAUGAAAAGGUAACUUUCUUUAUAUUAAAAAAUAUAAUUUAAUUUUUAAGUUAAAAAGCUUAAAUUUUUUAGUGGGACGAGAAGACCCUGUAGAAUUUUAUUUUUAUUAUUGUUUUAAUUUUUAGGAUAAUAUGAAUUAUAAAUUUUAAUAAAAAUUUUGUUGGGGUGACAGUGAGAUUUAUUUAACUCUCAUAUUUAAUUAAUUAUUUAUUUAUAUAUUUUUGAUCCUAUUUUAUAGAAAUUAGAUUAAAUUACCUUAGGGAUAACAGCGUAAUUCUUUUGGAGAGUUCCUAUCGAUGAAAGGGUUUGCGACCUCGAUGUUGGAUUAAAAUUAGAUUUAAGUGCAGAAGCUUAAUUUCUAGGUCUGUUCGACCUUUAAAUUUUUACAUGUUGGUUUUUAACCCG